GUAUCAAUUUUACCGAUUCGAAUCGGGGGAAGCGGGUGUGAAUCCCGCACAGUGGCGCUACGGUGACCGGUUAUCCGGAAGUCCGAUUACCUGUCGAAUUGCGAUCGAGAAUGCUUCUUCGAACCAAAGAAGUCAUGCUGUG
RNAcentral lists this small RNA (142 nucleotides) under Anaerolineaceae bacterium. The record is from RNAcentral. Lineage: Bacteria; Bacillati; Chloroflexota; Anaerolineae; Anaerolineales; Anaerolineaceae.